Molecule: ribosomal RNA, 253 nt
Filed under: uncultured bacterium
Lineage: Bacteria
Description: partial 16S ribosomal RNA
Rfam family: Bacterial small subunit ribosomal RNA
Source: RNAcentral
UACAGAGGUCUCAAGCGUUGUUCGGAUUCAUUGGGCGUAAAGGGUGCGUAGGCGGCGCGGUAAGUCGGGUGUGAAAUCUUGGAGCUUAACUCCGAAACUGCAUUCGAUACUGCCGUGCUUGAGGACUGGAGAGGAGACUGGAAUUUACGGUGUAGCGGUGAAAUGCGUAGAUAUCGUAAGGAAGACCAGUGGCGAAGGCGGCUCACUGGCCCGAUACUGACGCUGAGGCACGAAAGCGUGGGGAGCAAACAGG